UCAAUAAGCGGAGGAAAAGAAACUAACAAGGAUUCCCCUAGUAACUGCGAGUGAAGCGGGAAAAGCUCAAAUUUAAAAUCUGGUGGUCUUUGGCCAUCCGAGUUGUAAUUUAGAGAAGCGUCUUCCGCGCUGGACCGUGCACAAGUCUCCUGGAAUGGAGCGUCAUAGAGGGUGAGAAUCCCGUCUUUGGCACGGAUGCCCCAGGGCUUUUGUGAUGCGCUCUCGAAGAGUCGAGUUGUUUGGGAAUGCAGCUCAAAAUGGGUGGUGAACUCCAUCUAAAGCUAAAUAUUGGCGAGAGACCGAUAGCGAACAAGUACCGUGAGGGAAAGAUGAAAAGCACUUUGGAAAGAGAGUGAAACAGUACGUGAAAUUGUUGAAAGGGAAACGCUUGAAGUCAGUCGCGUUGACCGAGACUCAGCCUUGCCCCUUGGCUUGGUGUACUUCUCGGCUGACGGGUCAGCAUCAAUUUUGCCCCUUGGAUAAUGGCAAGGGAAAUGUGACACCUUUAUGGUGUGUUAUAGUCUCUUGUCGCAUGCAAGGGUCGGGAUUGAGGAACUCAGCACGCACCCUUUGGGUGUCGGGGCUUUGCCCACGAUACGUGCUUAGGAUGUUGGCGUAAUGGCUUUAAACGACCCGUCUUGAAACACGG
This 649-nucleotide ribosomal RNA is filed under the name Russula veternosa. RNAcentral's name for it is "LSU rRNA". It matches the Rfam family "Eukaryotic large subunit ribosomal RNA", at positions 43 to 664 of the family's 3401-position model. The record is from RNAcentral. Lineage: Eukaryota; Fungi; Basidiomycota; Agaricomycetes; Russulales; Russulaceae.